GAUGAACGCUGGCGGCGUGCCUAAUACAUGCAAGUCGAGCGAAUGGAUUAAGAGCUUGCUCUUAUGAAGUUAGCGGCGGACGGGUGAGUAACACGUGGGUAACCUGCCCAUAAGACUGGGAUAACUCCGGGAAACCGGGGCUAAUACCGGAUAACAUUUUGAACCGCAUGGUUCGAAAUUGAAAGGCGGCUUCGGCUGUCACUUAUGGAUGGACCCGCGUCGCAUUAGCUAGUUGGUGAGGUAACGGCUCACCAAGGCAACGAUGCGUAGCCGACCUGAGAGGGUGAUCGGCCACACUGGGACUGAGACACGGCCCAGACUCCUACGGGAGGCAGCAGUAGGGAAUCUUCCGCAAUGGACGAAAAUCUGACGGAGCAACGCCGCGUGAGUGACGAAGGCUUUCGGGUCGUAAAACUCUGUUGUUAGGGAAGAACAAGUGCUAGUUGAAUAAGCUGGCACCUUGACGGUACCUAACCAGAAAGCCACGGCUAACUACGUGCCAGCCGCCGCGGUAA
This 515-nucleotide ribosomal RNA is filed under the name uncultured bacterium. RNAcentral describes it as "partial 16S ribosomal RNA". It matches the Rfam family "Bacterial small subunit ribosomal RNA", at positions 28 to 523 of the family's 1533-position model. The record is from RNAcentral.